RNAcentral lists this long non-coding RNA (536 nucleotides) under Pongo abelii (Sumatran orangutan). RNAcentral's name for it is "lincRNA". Lineage: Eukaryota; Metazoa; Chordata; Mammalia; Primates; Hominidae. The record is from RNAcentral.
AGCACCUGCAGUUUGAAGCGGGAACAGGGAGGCAGAAGCAGCGCCGCAUCACAUUGGAUCCGCUGGAUCACGUUGGACGCUGGCUCAAAGUCUCUGCAAAGGACUCUCCAGGGAGUUGUAUCUUGUGAUUCCAGUAGUGGAAAGAACAAAAUCAAAACACCGUAUGGCGAAAUCCUCAAAGGGAAGGACCUGGAAUUCACAUCCUUCGAGAUAUCAUCUGUACCUCGGCACUGUUGUGACCCGGUGGGCAACAUAGUAGCAGGGUCGAGGGACAAAAUGCAUGCUAAUAGUCUCCAGGCUCAAAAAUGAUUCAAGACCCUGAUGGUGUCUCUCCAACGACCAACACACAGGGAUGGUGCCAACCUGUCACUCAAUUACAAUGCAGGGCUGGCGACUAACUGGUUUAAUUCGAGACCGUGGGUCGGAUCGCUUGUCUGUGCUUUGAUAACGGAGAAUUCGAGGCCCCGAAAAAGAGCUACUCGACCAGGUUAGACGAGUGGCUGGUAGAGUGCGAAUGACAACAUAUUAUACCAUCA